The submitters of this non-coding RNA (65 nucleotides) gave its source as unclassified sequences. The record is from Rfam.
GGCCACCUGCGGGGGGCUUUACCAUAGGCAUUGAAACUGCCGAUAUAGCAAACGGAAGACAGAAA